This is a long non-coding RNA of Etheostoma spectabile (orangethroat darter), 153 nucleotides long. RefSeq lists it as uncharacterized. The record is from RefSeq and is a predicted model, not a curated record. NCBI's taxonomy places the organism in Eukaryota, Metazoa, Chordata, Actinopteri, Perciformes, Percidae. The transcript is spliced from 3 exons.
CAAACUGCAAAGUAGUAAAAUAAACUUAAAUCAAAUUAAAAUGCAUACAUACAACUUUAACGUUGUUUCCCUUUCAAAACAAAAUAGUUGUAAGAUAGUUGUAAAAUCACUACCUUGGCCACAGAUAAGUUAGGUUGAUGCUGUCAUGUCUGA